GACCUCAAAUCAGGUAAGAAAAAUAUGGACUUAAGCAUAUCAAUAAGCGGAGGA
This 54-nucleotide ribosomal RNA is filed under the name uncultured Glomus. RNAcentral's name for it is "partial 28S ribosomal RNA". Lineage: Eukaryota; Fungi; Glomeromycota; Glomeromycetes; Glomerales; Glomeraceae. The record is from RNAcentral.